Molecule: long non-coding RNA, 208 nt
Filed under: Elaeis guineensis (African oil palm)
Lineage: Eukaryota; Viridiplantae; Streptophyta; Magnoliopsida; Arecales; Arecaceae
Description: long non-coding RNA (EGUI_LNC032425)
Source: RNAcentral
UCUUCCCCAUCCUCUCUUAGCCCCAGGUCUUGCUGUCGACCACCAGCUUUGCCGUAAAAAUCAAGAAAAGAAGAACUCCUCUUUUUCUCUAUUUUGAAGAAGUCUUCUCUCUCUUUUUUCUGGCCACCAGCACGGUCGCCCAUGGUGCCGCACCUCUGGAUCGUGACCCCCACCUAUCUGCUACCUUCUCUGAAGGUCUUGGCCAUCA